AGGGUUUUGAGCUUGGAAUUCUUCAGGGGUAAAGUGUUUUGAGUUUGAAAUUCUUCUGGGGUAAAUGGUUUUGAGCUUGGAAUUCUUCAGGGAUAAAGGGUUUUGAGCUUGGAAUUCUUCAGGGGUAAAGAGGUUUGAGAUUGAAAUUCUUUAGGGGUAAAGUGUUUUGAGCUUGGAAUUCUUUAGGGGUGAAGGGUUUUGAGCUUGGAAUUCUUCAGGGGUAAAGGGUUUUGAGCUUGGAACUCUUCAGGGGUAAAGCGUUUUGAGCUUGGAAUUUUGGAAUUCUUCAG
Molecule: non-coding RNA, 290 nt
Organism: Paramuricea clavata
Lineage: Eukaryota; Metazoa; Cnidaria; Anthozoa; Malacalcyonacea; Plexauridae
Source: the annotation of a GenBank genome assembly